RNAcentral lists this transfer RNA (73 nucleotides) under Stylephorus chordatus (tube-eye). Its description in RNAcentral is "tRNA-Asn". Lineage: Eukaryota; Metazoa; Chordata; Actinopteri; Stylephoriformes; Stylephoridae. The record is from RNAcentral.
UAGAUAGAUGCUCGCUGGAUUGGGCGCUUAGCUGUUAACUAAGAUUUUGAAGGAUCGAAGCCUUCCUACCUAG